GCAGGUGGAGGCAGGUGGAAGCAGGUGGAAGCAGGUGGAGGCAGGUGGAAGCAGGUGGAAGCAGGUGGAGGCAGGUGGAGGCAGGUGGAGGCAGGUGGAGGCAGGUGGAAGCAGGUGGAAGCAUGCGUCCUUUGGCGACAGAUCGUCAGAGGAUGUGAUACUGCGAGACAGUUACGGAGCUCUGCACCACGCUGCACUGUUGCAUCCGGUGUAGGCUUACAUAUAAUCCACAUAGCCAGGUGUGUGGAAAAAGGAGUUUGCUCCCUUCAGCGGCAGGCUAUCCGUUACACACCCCUCACUCCGGGGAGCCCAAUCUUGGGUCCACACACCCUUGACCCAGGUUGCCGCGAAGAAACUGCCUGGUACUGUCAUGGUGUGUAUGUGUGUGUGUGUCUCUCGGUGAACACGUCCAGGGACAGGCUGCAGCCACCGACACUGGAGUGCUCCCACAGCACUUGGCAUAUACCGUCUGGUUCAGCAGCCCCUGGGUACCAUCUUCGCACUUGCUGGGCACGUCAGCUCGCUGUUGCUGUCCUCGGCCGCCACACCACGGAGACGUCCGUAUCCUGGUCGGCUGUCUGUCUGGU
This 587-nucleotide long non-coding RNA is filed under the name Volvox carteri. RNAcentral's name for it is "long non-coding RNA (VCAR_LNC002280)". Lineage: Eukaryota; Viridiplantae; Chlorophyta; Chlorophyceae; Chlamydomonadales; Volvocaceae. The record is from RNAcentral.